Molecule: ribosomal RNA, 448 nt
Filed under: uncultured bacterium
Lineage: Bacteria
Description: partial 16S ribosomal RNA
Rfam family: Bacterial small subunit ribosomal RNA
Source: RNAcentral
AGCGAACGCUGGCGGCAGGCCUAACACAUGCGAGUCGAACGAAGUCUUCGGACUUAGUGGCGGACGGGUGAGUAACACGUGGGAACGUGCCUUUAGGUUCGGAAUAACUCAGGGAAACUUGUGCUAAUACCGAAUGUGCCCUUCGGGGGAAAGAUUUAUCGCCUUUAGAGCGGCCCGCGUCUGAUAGCUAGUUGGUGAGGUAAAGGCUCACCAAGGCGACGAUCAGUAGCUGGUCUGAGAGGAUGAUCAGCCACAUUGGGACUGAGACACGGCCCAAACUCCUACGGGAGGCAGCAGUGGGGAAUCUUGCGCAAUGGGCGAAAGCCUGACGCAGCCAUGCCGCGUGAAUGAUGAAGGUCUUAGGAUUGUAAAAUUCUUUCACCGGGGACGAUAAUGACGGUACCCGGAGAAGAAGCCCCGGCUAACUUCGUGCCAGCCGCCGCUGUAA